This is an RNA transcript of Manduca sexta (tobacco hornworm), 1775 nucleotides long. RefSeq lists it as uncharacterized. The transcript has 2 exons. The record is from RefSeq and is a predicted model, not a curated record. Lineage: Eukaryota; Metazoa; Arthropoda; Insecta; Lepidoptera; Sphingidae.
UACAAUAAAGAUUGCAUUUAUUCUUUUGUAUUGUUAAAUACAAUGAGGAGAAUAGAAAUGUGUCAUACAAUUAAUAGGAAUAAUCCAGCAAUCAGUAAUGGGGUGAAUAGUAACGAAUUAUUUGUAAAUAAUACAGGAAUCUUAGGAAAUCAAACCUGGCUGAAUCAAGAUGUAGCAACGGGAGUAGAAAUCAUUGAACUUGAUGAUAGUGACGACUCCCAAACAUCAGAUGAAUCACCAAAAGAUAAUUUUGAUCACGCUUGGUGUUACGUAAACAAUACAAGAGCUUCAAAGGAAUUACAAGAUGUUCAUAGAGUAAACACAAUAGCCAGGGAAAAAAGACGUUUAAAAGACCGUGAUCGCCAAAACUUAUUCAGCCCCUGCGAAUAUGUACAUAAUAAUAACACUUUGCUAGGAAACACCGUUGUAACUGCUGGCGAUAACAAAAAUAAUGUUAGAUUAAAUCACCAAAUUAACUGUUUUACCAUAAUUAACAAGCACUUCAUCAAUUCUGACACAUCUUCAGAAAAUAUAGACUACGAUAAUAUAGAAAUGGUUAGACCUAUUGGUGAUGCGUUUAAGGAAAAUCAUGACUUCAAUAAUGUAUUCGGAGACGAGUUACUUAGUGAUAGUGACGCUGAGUAAAGACAAUUUGGAUUUAUUCUUUUAAGAAUAAGCAUCUAUUGUCGGAUGAUUAUAUUGAAAUGAUAAAUAUACCGAGCAACGAAACAGAUAGUUGCAAUUCAUUUUCCUUCGAGAAAUUUGAUGAAGAUUCAGAAAAUAUAAUUAGAGCAGCGUCUCCGAUCCCACCGCCGUUUAUACCAAGAUUGAAUCUCUCACUGGCCCAAACUCUAUCAACUGUUACAGAGAUCACCGAACCUAACAAACACCCUUCAUCUGUUGAAACGGACAGAUCAGGAAAAGUACCUGUGAACCAAAAGCCCAAAAAUAGUUGGUUGUUUAACAAUUACAAAGAUGGUGGAGAUAAUCAAGAGAAAUCCACAAAUGUAGUAAAUUGGAUGGCUUUAUCUCCAAGAGAACGAAGAAGAAUAAUAUGCAGAGAGAGGGAUUCUAAAGCUGAUGUUAUUUAUAAAGGAAAACUUGCAACGUUAAAAGAAGUGUGUCCUAAUGGUGAAGCUAAAGUUCUUGACAAUCAAGAUAAUGGUGAGAAAAUUGAAACUUACAAUAAUAUUCACUCAAGAACUGUUGAUGUUGAAAUACAUGUAAUACCAAAAUUGGAUAUCCAAGAAGUAGAGUCGAAGGGAGUCAUAGUAAACGUGAGCCAACCUGACACAAAACAUAUAGAAGUCGACGAUGAAAAUGUAGUCGAAGUAAUCGCCGAUAAUGAAAACAUAGAAGUCAUUAUGUGUUCUCCUAAACCACAAAUAAAAAUAAGCAAAAAAUGUAUAAACGCGAAAGCUAUAACUGAGCCCAUCGAAAAGCUGAAUACCGAUAAUUGGAUUGUAGAAGAAAGUGCAGAACACACAAUUCCAUUUAGUUUUGAUUUAGAGAGAACGGUAGAUAAUAAUUUUAAUAGAGGUGACAGUGCGCUUACGGCAAAUGAUAGAUUGUGGUCAAAGAACGCUUUAGCUCUCAUGAAACCCGCACAGUGGAAUGAAUACGCACCAAUUGCCGAAAGCCAUUUGUCGCUACAUUUAUCUCUAGACAGCACCAUAGACAAACAAUCAUGGCUAUCGCGACUAAUAAAACUGUUUAAAUGUUGUAAUUAAUCACGUUCUGUAAAUAAAACACAAUAAUGGUUUAAAUUGGCGAAU